RNAcentral lists this ribosomal RNA (253 nucleotides) under uncultured bacterium. RNAcentral describes it as "partial 16S ribosomal RNA". It matches the Rfam family "Bacterial small subunit ribosomal RNA", at positions 524 to 776 of the family's 1533-position model. The record is from RNAcentral.
UACGUAGGGGGCAAGCGUUAUCCGGAUUUACUGGGUGUAAAGGGAGCGUAGACGGCGAUGCAAGUCUGAAGUGAAAGGCGGGGGCCCAACCCCCGGACUGCUUUGGAAACUGUAUGGCUGGAGUGCAGGAGAGGUAAGUGGAAUUCCUAGUGUAGCGGUGAAAUGCGUAGAUAUUAGGAGGAACACCAGUGGCGAAGGCGGAUUGCUGGACAGUAACUGACGCUGAGGCGCGAAAGCGUGGGGAGCAAACAGG